AGAGUUUGAUCCUGGCUCAGAUUGAACGCUGGCGGCAGGCCUAACACAUGCAAGUCGAGCGGAUGAAGGGAGCUUGCUCCUGGAUUCAGCGGCGGACGGGUGAGUAAUGCCUAGGAAUCUGCCUGGUAGUGGGGGAUAACGUCCGGAAACGGGCGCUAAUACCGCAUACGUCCUGAGGGAGAAAGUGGGGGAUCUUCGGACCUCACGCUAUCAGAUGAGCCUAGGUCGGAUUAGCUAGUUGGUGGGGUAAAGGCCUACCAAGGCGACGAUCCGUAACUGGUCUGAGAGGAUGAUCAGUCACACUGGAACUGAGACACGGUCCAGACUCCUACGGGAGGCAGCAGUGGGGAAUAUUGGACAAUGGGCGAAAGCCUGAUCCAGCCAUGCCGCGUGUGUGAAGAAGGUCUUCGGAUUGUAAAGCACUUUAAGUUGGGAGGAAGGGCAGUAAGUUAAUACCUUGCUGUUUUGACGUUACCAACAGAAUAAGCACCGGCUAACUUCGUGCCAGCAGCCGCGGU
RNAcentral lists this ribosomal RNA (518 nucleotides) under Pseudomonas aeruginosa. RNAcentral describes it as "bacterial SSU rRNA". It matches the Rfam family "Bacterial small subunit ribosomal RNA", at positions 8 to 521 of the family's 1533-position model. Lineage: Bacteria; Pseudomonadati; Pseudomonadota; Gammaproteobacteria; Pseudomonadales; Pseudomonadaceae. The record is from RNAcentral.